RNAcentral lists this ribosomal RNA (441 nucleotides) under uncultured bacterium. RNAcentral's name for it is "partial 16S ribosomal RNA". It matches the Rfam family "Bacterial small subunit ribosomal RNA", at positions 338 to 795 of the family's 1533-position model. The record is from RNAcentral.
CCUACGGGAGGCAGCAGUGGGGGAUAUUGCACAAUGGGGGGAACCCUGAUGCAGCGACGCCGCGUGGGUGAAGGAGUGCUUCGGCAGGUAAAGCCCUAUCGGCAGGGAAGAAGCAAGACGGUACCUGACUAAGAAGCCCCGUCUAACUACGUGCCAGCAGCCGCGGUAAUACGUAGGGGGCGAGCGUUAUGCGGAUUCACUGGGUGUAAAGGGAGCGUAGACGGCCAUGCAGGCCAGGGGUGAAAGCCCGGGGUCCAACCCCGGGACUGCCCUUGGAACUGCAUGGCUGGAGUGCGGGAGGGGCAGGCGGAAUUUCUGGUGUAGCGGUGAAAUGCGUAGAUAUUAGGAGGAACACCAGUGGCGAAGGCGGCCUACUGGACGGUGACUGACGCUGAGGCUCGAAAGCGUGGGGAGCAAACAGGAUUAGAUACCCUUGUAGUC